Ribosomal RNA from Aspergillus clavatus NRRL 1, 120 nucleotides. NCBI's taxonomy places the organism in Eukaryota, Fungi, Ascomycota, Eurotiomycetes, Eurotiales, Aspergillaceae. The record is from Rfam.
ACAUACGACCAUAGGGUGUGGAGAACAGGGCUUCCCGUCCGCUCAGCCGUACUUAAGCCACACGCCGGCCGGUUAGUAGUUGGGUGGGUGACCACCAGCGAAUCCCGGCUGUCGUAUGUU